AUAAAGACUGGUAGAUUUCUUCCGUUGGAAGAGGGUGAGUUUUCUAAUUUAAUAUAUAGACUUUAUUUUCUUUUAAUUGAACGGUUAUCCUUGUCACAUUGACGUAUAAAAGGAAAUAUGCAAGCCCUUCCUUGGUUUGUUUCGAUACCACCAGUUACAAGGACUUUUGUAAUGGCAUGCGUCAUUACUUCUCUAUCAGAGGCCUGGGGUCUAAUACAUCACCUUCAACUCUACUUGAAUUGGAGACAAAUUUUUCACCAUUAUCAGGUGUGGAGAUUCCUGACCAACUUUUUAUAUUUUGGAAGCACGGUGAACCUGAUUUUUAAAAUAUUUUGUGUUGUCCAAUAUAUGCAAUCGCUGGAACAAAGCGUGUUUAGGCGUAGAGUGGCAGACUACGUGUACAUGAUUAUGUUUGGGGCGUUUUCUUUAUUGUUUGCUAGUUUCUGCCUAUACUAUAUGAAAUUCAGGCACCCUCUAUUUCUGGGACCUGUUUUGACCGAAAUGAUCGUUUAUAUCUGGGCGAAGCACCAUCCAUAUAUUAUGCUCCAUUUUUUGGGCAUAUUGCCAAUCGCGGCACCUCUGUUGCCAUGGAUCAUAUUUUCAAUAGAGAUGUGCUUCGAACUGGAUGCGGACAUUUUCAACUUGAUGGGAUUCUUUUUGGGACAUUUGUAUUAUUUCCUCUCACAUGUCUACGUGAUAACAAGCAAUAGACAGCUUUUGAAAACGCCUGCCAUUUUGAGACUGCUGUUAGAUUGAGGCUAGAUUCCCGUUCGCAGAAGGGAAAGUAGAGGGUAUUGUGCCAUCUCCAGCUUCUGUCAACUUCUACCCUAUUGCCUAAAGUGCAUGUUUGGUUCUUCCUUCUUCCAUGCAGGCCAUCAUAUGCACAGUCUGUGAUUUGGGUGUUAUCGUUUUCGAAAUUUGGUCGUACUGUAUGCACUUUUAACUAUGUGGCGAUAGAAAAGAAGUCAAACUUUCGAUGUACAAAGGUAGCAUAAAAUUUUUUUAUUCGCAAUUCUGUGGUAUAUACAUACCUCUUUAUAGUUAAAAACUGGACUUUUUGAUGCGAUUUGAAUAAAAAAGUUAACUAUAUCUCCGCCGAUGAUAAUCAUGGCGAGUAUUUCGAGAAUCUCGAUGGAAUGCGCUGUCAUCAUACUUAGAAUGUUCUGAAGAAUACGGACAGUGACGUUUUGAGCUAUACUUCCUUUCGCUUGGCCUCAUGUAGUCGGUUUCUUCACGGAAGUCUGACGGUUUAUGUUCCGAGUCAUACUGAACGCGUCUAGGCGAACGAGCAUGACACAAUUCUCGUGACGGGUGUUGAGGCUGCGAUCCGUAAUAGCGAUAGUAUGCUUCAAGAAGAGAGAACACAGCCGGCAUUUCAGAUUCCGAAAAUUUAGGUAGAUCAGGCGCAUGUAAGCCUGGAUAGGGGAAGAGGCGCUUUCUAGGUAAGGUAGCAAGUGAGAUAGACGAUGAUUUCGACCAAAUUUUAUCGGUUUGAUCGUUUUUGGUUGAUUCUGAAUGAUUUUUUUCCUCUUCGAAUUGGGUCUUUUUUUGCUCAAUAAGUAUUUCGUUUUUUUUUGUCUCUUCUUGAGGCAUUCCACCGCUGGCCUCUUCUCCUUGUAUCAGCGCAUUGCCAUCGUUCUUGCUUUCUUCCCAUUUAAUCUCGAAACUGAAUUUGUUUCUUUCACCUUCAUAGUACGCCGGGGGGUAUCCGUAAAUUUUCAUUUUCGCAUAGUAUGGAGGAUCUUGGCCAUUUUGAAUUCCUAGAGCGACCUUCAUUUUUUCUGAAAGUCUACCGGGGAUGGGGUUCAUCGACGACGGUGUUUCAUAGUAUCUCUUUUCGGACGAUGUCUCUUUUUGUAGUCUCCAUUCCUUCAUGGUCCGUCUGAUCCGUUCUGGGUCGUGUCGACUCGGACAAGAGGAGAGUUGGUGACCUCUGAGCCCGCAGUUGAAACAAGCACCUUGAGUCGGGUAAUGUGAAACGCUCCCUGUUUGGUGGGGAAGAGGCUCUUCGAAAGCACGAGUAUAAUAAGGGGGUGACCACAGCCGUGCAUCUGGAGCAUCGCCAGAAGGAAUAGGCCAUACGCUACGAUCAAGGGUGAAAUAGGGAUAGUAUUGAACAGAACCAGAGUAUCCAAUUCGGCGACAGUAGUUAUAAGAUGCGGAACGCGUCCGAACCGGAAGGUACCAUGUGUCAU
This is a long non-coding RNA of Schistocerca gregaria, 2195 nucleotides long. RefSeq lists it as uncharacterized. The record is from RefSeq and is a predicted model, not a curated record. The transcript has 6 exons. NCBI's taxonomy places the organism in Eukaryota, Metazoa, Arthropoda, Insecta, Orthoptera, Acrididae.